CCUACGGGAGGCAGCAGUGAGGAAUCUUGGUCAAUGGACGAGAGUCUGAACCAGCCAAGUAGCGUGAAGGAUGACUGCCCUAUGGGUUGUAAACUUCUUUUAUAUGGGAAUAAAAUGUUCCACGUGUGGGAUUUUGUAUGUACCAUAUGAAUAAGGAUCGGCUAACUCCGUGCCAGCAGCCGCGGUAAUACGGAGGAUCCGAGCGUUAUCCGGAUUUAUUGGGUUUAAAGGGAGCGUAGGUGGAUUGUUAAGUCAGUUGUGAAAGUUUGCGGCUCAACCGUAAAAUUGCAGUUGAAACUGGCAGUCUUGAGUACAGUAGAGGUGGGCGGAAUGCGUGGUGUAGCGGUGAAAUGCUUAGAUAUCACGAAGAACUCCGAUUGCGAAGGCAGUUCACUGGACUGCAACUGACACUGAGGCUCGAAAGUGUGGGUAUCAAACAGGAUUAGAUACCCUUGUAGUC
This 460-nucleotide ribosomal RNA is filed under the name uncultured bacterium. RNAcentral describes it as "partial 16S ribosomal RNA". It matches the Rfam family "Bacterial small subunit ribosomal RNA", at positions 338 to 795 of the family's 1533-position model. The record is from RNAcentral.